This 965-nucleotide long non-coding RNA is filed under the name Setaria viridis. Its description in RNAcentral is "long non-coding RNA (SVIR_LNC009819)". The record is from RNAcentral. Lineage: Eukaryota; Viridiplantae; Streptophyta; Magnoliopsida; Poales; Poaceae.
AAAAUUAUCCAUGUGAUGAUGUAUAAGCUAGGCAUCGGAUUUAGUUGGGUUUUUGGAAACUAGCAUUUGCCUAUGUUGCUCGAUAUAUGGAGCCACAAAGGAUGACUGUUGCAGAAAAGUGUAGUGUGCCUUGUGGAUAAUUAUUUCAACAUUCAUUUACGAUAUCCAGCCUGAGUUUGUGGACUUGAAGUUCUUCUGUUCUACCAUUAUUUUCUGGUACUGGAGGAGUGGAGGUGACUCUCCAUAGACUUUGGAGAAGAUCGAGUUACGUGUAGAGAAUAGCGUAAGCAGGUUCUAUUAACUUGGAUUGGAUGAACGGAGGUGGUACAUCCAUUGUUGGUCCAUCUACAUCGUAUUACAUGAAAAAUAAACAUAGGGUUUUGUAUGGGAUUAUUAUUUAUAAUUUAGUUCUUACAUUAAACAUGAGAUAAAUAAAUUGUUGGUCAAUGAAAUACAAUUAUUAAGUGUUAAAUUAUAGUGACAUGAAAAAAUUGUAGCAAUGACCAAAUUCUAUUUUCUUACACCUACAAUUUAUUUACCUUAAUUUUAUUGCAAUUUCUAAAUAUUAAAAACAUAUUUACUCUAAUUUUUUCUCAUACAUAAUAUUGAAAUCCUCCAUUCUACCUCACAUUUACUCCCAUUCUACCUCACAUUCUACCUCAAAAUCCUCCCCAUUUUCUCCUUCACAUUCUAGCAAACUAUCUAUCUCCAUUCUACACAUGAAGUUGUUUUAACUAAUACGAAUCGUAUAUAACAAGCAAACUAUCCAUCACAUUCCAGCUCAAAAACAUAAAACAAAUCCUCUCCAUUCUCCCUCAUUUCUAACAAGCAAGCUCAUGUUUCUCCCUCUCUAAAGCAUAAACAAAGCAUAACAACAAUAAAUGAAAGGAGGAUGAAGUAGCUAACCUUCACUACACUUUGGAUGAGUGAAACCCCCACGGAAAUGAGGAAAAAACAUCGGGCAG